AGUGAACGCUGGCGGUAGGCCUAACACAUGCAAGUCGAACGGCAGCACAGUAAGAGCUUGCUCUUACGGGUGGCGAGUGGCGGACGGGUGAGGAAUACAUCGGAAUCUACUUUUUCGUGGGGGAUAACGUAGGGAAACUUACGCUAAUACCGCAUACGACCUACGGGUGAAAGCAGGGGAUCUUCGGACCUUGCGCGAUUGAAUGAGCCGAUGUCGGAUUAGCUAGUUGGCGGGGUAAAGGCCCACCAAGGCGACGAUCCGUAGCUGGUCUGAGAGGAUGAUCAGCCACAAUGGAAAUGAGACACGGUCCAGACUCCUAAGGGAGGCAGCAGUGGGGAAUAUUGGACAAUGGGCGCAAGCCUGAUCCAGCCAUACCGCGUGGGUGAAGAAGGCCUUCGGGUUGUAAAGCCCUUUUGUUGGGAAAGAAAAGCAGCAGGUUAAUACCCCGCUGUUCUGACGGUACCCAAAGAAUAAGCACCGGCUAACUUCGUG
RNAcentral lists this ribosomal RNA (492 nucleotides) under uncultured bacterium. Its description in RNAcentral is "partial 16S ribosomal RNA". It matches the Rfam family "Bacterial small subunit ribosomal RNA", at positions 29 to 507 of the family's 1533-position model. The record is from RNAcentral.